UACGUAGGUGGCAAGCGUUAUCCGGAUUCACUGGGCGUAAAGCGCAUGCAGGUGGCGCGGCAAGUAGGGCAUGAAAGCUCCUGGCUUAACUGGGAGUCGCUGUCCUAAACUACCGCGCUUGAGGCUGAGAGAGGGAAGUGGAAUUGCCGGUGUAGUGGUGAAAUGCGUAGAGAUCGGCAGGAACACCCGUGGCGAAAGCGGCUUCCUGGCUCAGUCCUGACACUCAGAUGCGAAAGCUAGGGGAGCGAACGGG
Molecule: ribosomal RNA, 253 nt
Filed under: uncultured bacterium
Lineage: Bacteria
Description: partial 16S ribosomal RNA
Rfam family: Bacterial small subunit ribosomal RNA
Source: RNAcentral